RNAcentral lists this ribosomal RNA (810 nucleotides) under uncultured bacterium. Its description in RNAcentral is "bacterial SSU rRNA". It matches the Rfam family "Bacterial small subunit ribosomal RNA", at positions 1 to 804 of the family's 1533-position model. The record is from RNAcentral.
CCCUCGUACGAUUCCCUUGAGUUGAUAUGGCUCAGAUUGAACGCUGGCGGCAUGCCUUACACAUGCAAGUCGAGCGGCAGCGCGGGGGCAACCCUGGCGGCGAGCGGCGGACGGGUGAGUAGUGCAUCGGAACGUGUCCUCUUGUGGGGGAUAACCAGUCGAAAGACUGGCUAAUACCGCAUGAGCUCGUAAGAGGAAAGCAGGGGACCCGCAAGGGCCUUGCGCGAGAGGAGCGGCCGAUGCCCGAUUAGCUAGUUGGUGGGGUAAUGGCCCACCAAGGCGACGAUCGGUAGCUGGUCUGAGAGGACGACCAGCCACACUGGGACUGAGACACGGCCCAGACUCCUACGGGAGGCAGCAGUGGGGAAUUUUGGACAAUGGGGGAAACCCUGAUCCAGCCAUGCCGCGUGUGUGAAGAAGGCCUUCGGGUUGUAAAGCACUUUCGGACGGAACGAAAUCGCGCGGGUGAACAAUCCGCGCGGAUGACGGUACCGUAAGAAGAAGCACCGGCUAACUACGUGCCAGCAGCCGCGGUAAUACGUAGGGUGCGAGCGUUAAUCGGAAUUACUGGGCGUAAAGUGUGCGCAGGCGGCCGCGCAAGUCGAGUGUGAAAGCCCCGAGCUUAACUUGGGAAUUGCGCUCGAAACUACGUGGCUGGAGUGUGGCAGAGGAAGGUGGAAUUCCACGUGUAGCGGUGAAAUGCGUAGAGAUGUGGAGGACACCGAUGGCGAAGGCAGCCUUCUGGGGCACACUGACGCUCAUGCACGAAGCGUGGGAGCAACANGAUAGAUACCUGGUAGUCACGCCUAA